This 314-nucleotide long non-coding RNA is filed under the name Callithrix jacchus (white-tufted-ear marmoset). RNAcentral describes it as "lncRNA (ENSCJAG00000056758.2)". The record is from RNAcentral. Lineage: Eukaryota; Metazoa; Chordata; Mammalia; Primates; Cebidae.
GAGAAAGCUUACUCAAGAAUGUGUUUGAACUGAGAUUUCAAAGAUAACCAGAUCUCGUCUGGGUGAAUGAGUCAGUAGAAGAUAUUCAAGGUACAAGAAUGCCUCACUGGAAGUUCAGAUGUGAGAAUGAGUAUGACACUUUUGAAGAUCUGGAAAAAGACCUGUGUGGCCAGAGAAGAGAGUGAAGGGUUUUGGGGUACAUGUGCAGAACGUGCAAGACAGUUGCAUAGGUACACACAUGGCAGUGUGUUUUGCUGCCUUUCUCCCCUUCACCCACAUUUGUCAAAAAGGUUUUCAAGCCCCCCAGACAAUGU